Brassica napus (rape) is the source of this 491-nucleotide long non-coding RNA. RefSeq lists it as uncharacterized. The record is from RefSeq and is a predicted model, not a curated record. NCBI's taxonomy places the organism in Eukaryota, Viridiplantae, Streptophyta, Magnoliopsida, Brassicales, Brassicaceae. The transcript has 2 exons.
AAGCAAUGCAUAUGAAUAUCGAAUCCUUCUCGAAAGCAAAGAUCUUGUAUUCUCUAUGAUGAUUAUGGUCGUCUCCUUCUCGAAAGUUUUCUUCUUUCUAUCAUCACUGAAACUGAACCAGAGCGCGAGGCUCACGCUGAGGCUUGAGCAUCAUCCGUUCGUCAUCCGGUGCGAAGCUUCUUCCAACGGAAGGGAAGAAGUCGGAUAUGAAGCUGUGCUGGUGUAGAUGAGCCGAGCAAGAAGAAAAAAAAGAGAAAGAGGGAGAAGACAGAGACGUAAGAAGGGAAGACGAGAAGAUGGAAGAGGAAGGCGACGACAGAGUGGCGUAGAUUAGGUUUAGUAUUGGUUGGUUUAUUAGGUUUGGUUUGGACAUGGUUAGUUUAAUAAACCGGGCUUGUGUAUAAACCAAUGUUAGGAAAUCAACUGAUUAUUAAUUGUAAACCAAUUAUUUGUAUACUGAUCUUAAUUAAUAAAUAAAAUUUAAUUUUUAA